Molecule: ribosomal RNA, 254 nt
Filed under: uncultured bacterium
Lineage: Bacteria
Description: partial 16S ribosomal RNA
Rfam family: Bacterial small subunit ribosomal RNA
Source: RNAcentral
UACGGAGGAUCCGAGCGUUAUCCGGAUUUAUUGGGUUUAAAGGGAGCGUAAGUGGAUUGUUAAGUCAGUUGUGAAAGUUUGCGGCUCAACCGUAAAAUUGCAGUUGAAACUGGCAGUCUUGAGUACAGUAGAGGUGGGCGGAAUUCGUGGUGUAGCGGUGAAAUGCUUAGAUAUCACGAAGAACUCCGAUUGCGAAGGCAGCUCACUGGACUGUUGACUGACACUGAGGCUCGAAAGUGUGGGUAUCAAACAGG